ACAAAGAAGAAAGAAAUCAGACAACAACGCUCACCAACUCCUUCUCUCCCUCUCUUCUCUCUUUCUUUCUCCUUUUCCUCUCUGUCUCCUUUUUCCCUUUCUC
Molecule: non-coding RNA, 103 nt
Filed under: Paramoeba aestuarina
Lineage: Eukaryota; Discosea; Flabellinia; Dactylopodida; Paramoebidae
Source: RNAcentral